Molecule: non-coding RNA, 73 nt
Organism: Rhizobiales bacterium TMED83
Lineage: Bacteria; Pseudomonadati; Pseudomonadota; Alphaproteobacteria; Hyphomicrobiales
Source: Rfam
UCCCCGGUAGCUCAGUUGGUAGAGCAAACGGCUGUUAACCGUUCGGUCGCUGGUUCGAGUCCGGCCCGGGGAG